AUCGCUUCUCGGCCUUUUGGCUAAGAUCAAGUGUAGUAUCUGUUCUUAUCGGCUCUCUGGAACAUAAUGGACGGCGGAUGGUCACCGUCCACCUCUUUAACCCCUUCGUCACCGCCG
Molecule: small nuclear RNA, 117 nt
Organism: Pygocentrus nattereri (red-bellied piranha)
Lineage: Eukaryota; Metazoa; Chordata; Actinopteri; Characiformes; Serrasalmidae
Gene: U2
Rfam family: U2 spliceosomal RNA
About the family: U2 is a small nuclear RNA (snRNA) component of the spliceosome (involved in pre-mRNA splicing). Complementary binding between U2 snRNA (in an area lying towards the 5' end but 3' to hairpin I) and the branchpoint sequence (BPS) of the intron results the bulging out of an unpaired adenosine, on the BPS, which initiates a nucleophilic attack at the intronic 5' splice site, thus starting the first of two transesterification reactions that mediate splicing.
Source: Ensembl